AACAAGGUUUCCGUAGGUGAACCUGCGGAAGGAUCAUUACCGAGUUGAUUCGAGCUCCGGCUCGACUCUCCCACCCCAUGUGUACCUACCUCUGUUGCUUUGGCGGGCCGCGGUCCUCCGCACCGACCCCCGUUCGGGGGGCCGGCCAGCGCCCGCCAGAGGACCACAAAACUCCAGUCAGUAAACGUCGCAGUCUGAGAAACAAGUUAAUAAACUAAAACUUUCAACAACGGAUCUCUUGGUUCUGGCAUCGAUGAAGAACGCAGCGAAAUGCGAUAAGUAAUGUGAAUUGCAGAAUUCAGUGAAUCAUCGAAUCUUUGAACGCACAUUGCGCCCCUUGGUAUUCCGAGGGGCAUGCCUGUUCGAGCGUCAUUUCAACCCUCAAGCUCUGCUUGGUAUUGGGCUCCGUCCUCUGUGGACGCGCCUCGAAGACCUCGGCGGUGGCGUCUUGCCUCAAGCGUAGUAGAAAACACCUCGCUUUGGAGCGCACGGCGUCGCCCGCCGGACGAACCUUUGAAUUUUUCUCAAGGUUGACCUCGGAUCAGGUAGGGAUACCCGCUGAACUUAAGCAUAUCA
RNAcentral lists this ribosomal RNA (576 nucleotides) under Neofusicoccum luteum. RNAcentral describes it as "eukaryotic LSU rRNA". The stretch from base 219 to 372 matches the Rfam family "5.8S ribosomal RNA". Lineage: Eukaryota; Fungi; Ascomycota; Dothideomycetes; Botryosphaeriales; Botryosphaeriaceae. The record is from RNAcentral.